GACGAACGCUGGCGGCGUGCUUAACACAUGCAAGUCGAACGGAAAGGCCCUGCUUUUGUGGGGUGCUCGAGUGGCGAACGGGUGAGUAACACGUGAGUAACCUGCCCUUGACUUUGGGAUAACUUCAGGAAACUGGGGCUAAUACCGGAUAGGAGCUCCUGCUGCAUGGUGGGGGUUGGAAAGUUUCGGCGGUUGGGGAUGGACUCGCGGCUUAUCAGCUUGUUGGUGGGGUAGUGGCUUACCAAGGCUUUGACGGGUAGCCGGCCUGAGAGGGUGAACGGCGACAUUGGGACUGAGAUACGGCCCAGACGCCUACGGGAGGCAGCAGUGGGGAAUAUUGCACAAUGGGCGGAAGCCUGAUGCAGCAACGCCGCGUGCGGGAUGACGGCCUUCGGGUUGUAAACCGCUUUCGCCUGUGACGAAGCGUGAGUGACGGUAAUGGGUAAAGAAGCACCGGCUAACUACGUG
Molecule: ribosomal RNA, 468 nt
Filed under: uncultured bacterium
Lineage: Bacteria
Description: partial 16S ribosomal RNA
Rfam family: Bacterial small subunit ribosomal RNA
Source: RNAcentral